GACGAACGCUGGCGGCGUGCCUAAUACAUGCAAGUAGAACGCUGAAGAGAGGAGCUUGCUCUUCUUGGAUGAGUUGCGAACGGGUGAGUAACGCGUAGGUAACCUGCCUUGUAGCGGGGGAUAACUAUUGGAAACGAUAGCUAAUACCGCAUAACAAUGGAUGACACAUGUCAUUUAUUUGAAAGGGGCAAUUGCUCCACUACAAGAUGGACCUGCGUUGUAUUAGCUAGUAGGUGAGGUAACGGCUCACCUAGGCGACGAUACAUAGCCGACCUGAGAGGGUGAUCGGCCACACUGGGACUGAGACACGGCCCAGACUCCUACGGGAGGCAGCAGUAGGGAAUCUUCGGCAAUGGGGGCAACCCUGACCGAGCAACGCCGCGUGAGUGAAGAAGGUUUUCGGAUCGUAAAGCUCUGUUGUAAGUCAAGAACGAGUGUGAGAGUGGAAAGUUCACACUGUGACGGUAGCUUACCAGAAAGGGACGGCUAACUACGUGCCAGCAGCCGCGGUAAUACGUAGGUCCCGAGCGUUGUCCGGAUUUAUUGGGCGUAAAGCGAGCGCAGGCGGUUUGAUAAGUCUGAAGUUAAAGGCUGUGGCUCAACCAUAGUUCGCUUUGGAAACUGUCAAACUUGAGUGCAGAAGGGGAGAGUGGAAUUCCAUGUGUAGCGGUGAAAUGCGUAGAUAUAUGGAGGAACACCGGUGGCGAAAGCGGCUCUCUGGUCCGUAACUGACGCUGAGGCUCGAAAGCGUGGGGAGCGAACAGGAUUAGAUACCCUGGUAGUCCACGCCGUAAACGAUGAGUGCUAGGUGUUGGAUCCUUUCCGGGAUUCAGUGCCGCAGCUAACGCAUUAAGCACUCCGCCUGGGGAGUACGACCGCAAGGUUGAAACUCAAAGGAAUUGACGGGGGCCCGCACAAGCGGUGGAGCAUGUGGUUUAAUUCGAAGCAACGCGAAGAACCUUACCAGGUCUUGACAUCCCGAUGCUAUUUCUAGAGAUAGAAAGUUACUUCGGUACAUCGGUGACAGGUGGUGCAUGGUUGUCGUCAGCUCGUGUCGUGAGAUGUUGGGUUAAGUCCCGCAACGAGCGCAACCCCUAUUGUUAGUUGCCAUCAUUCAGUUGGGCACUCUAGCGAGACUGCCGGUAAUAAACCGGAGGAAGGUGGGGAUGACGUCAAAUCACCAUGCCCCUUAUGACCUGGGCUACACACGUGCUACAAUGGUUGGUACAACGAGUUGCGAGUCGGUGACGGCAAGCUAAUCUCUUAAAGCCAAUCUCAGUUCGGAUUGUAGGCUGCAACUCGCCUACAUGAAGUCGGAAUCGCUAGUAAUCGCGGAUCAGCACGCCGCGGUGAAUACGUUCCCGGGCCU
This 1369-nucleotide ribosomal RNA is filed under the name uncultured bacterium. RNAcentral describes it as "bacterial SSU rRNA". It matches the Rfam family "Bacterial small subunit ribosomal RNA", at positions 28 to 1381 of the family's 1533-position model. The record is from RNAcentral.